Molecule: ribosomal RNA, 462 nt
Filed under: uncultured bacterium
Lineage: Bacteria
Description: bacterial SSU rRNA
Rfam family: Bacterial small subunit ribosomal RNA
Source: RNAcentral
UAAGGAAUAUUGCGCAAUGGACGAAAGUCUGACGCAGCGACGCCGCGUGGGGGAUGAAGGUCUUCGGAUUGUAAACCCCUUUCGGGAGGGAAGAUGGAGUGGGUAACCACUUGGACGGUACCUCCAGAAGCAGCCACGGCUAACUUCGUGCCAGCAGCCGCGGUAAUACGAAGGUGGCAAGCGUUGUUCGGAUUCACUGGGCGUACAGGGAGCGUAGGCGGUUGGGUAAGCCCUCCGUGAAAUCUCCGGGCCUAACCCGGAAAGUGCAGAGGGGACUGCUCAGCUAGAGGAUGGGAGAGGAGCGCGGAAUUCCCGGUGUAGCGGUGAAAUGCGUAGAGAUCGGGAGGAAGGCCGGUGGCGAAGGCGGCGCUCUGGAACAUUUCUGACGCUGAGGCUCGAAAGCGUGGGGAGCAAACAGGAUUAGAUACCCCAGUAGUCCCUGAGCGGGCUGGCAAGGCGCAU